AUAGUAUUAGUAUAAAUUAAUAUUUUAUCUUUCCAAGUUAAAGAUCCUUUUUAUAAUAGGAUACUAUA
This 68-nucleotide transfer RNA is filed under the name Paragyrodactylus variegatus. Its description in RNAcentral is "tRNA-Gly". Lineage: Eukaryota; Metazoa; Platyhelminthes; Monogenea; Gyrodactylidea; Gyrodactylidae. The record is from RNAcentral.